GUCUACGGCCACGCCACCCUGAACAAGCCCGAUCCCAUCUGAUCUCAAAAGCUAAGCAGGGUCGGGCCUGGUUAGUACUUGGAUGGUUAGUACUUGGACCACCUAGGAAGACCAGGUGCUGUAGGUG
Molecule: ribosomal RNA, 127 nt
Filed under: Pteropus alecto (black flying fox)
Lineage: Eukaryota; Metazoa; Chordata; Mammalia; Chiroptera; Pteropodidae
Source: RNAcentral